This 193-nucleotide ribosomal RNA is filed under the name Fusidium sp. Its description in RNAcentral is "partial large subunit ribosomal RNA". It matches the Rfam family "Eukaryotic large subunit ribosomal RNA", at positions 82 to 279 of the family's 3401-position model. The record is from RNAcentral. Lineage: Eukaryota; Fungi; Ascomycota; Sordariomycetes; Hypocreales; Nectriaceae.
AGUAACGGCGAGUGAAGCGGCAACAGCUCAAAUUUGAAAUCUGGCCUUUGGCCCGAGUUGUAAUUUGUAGAGGAUGCUUUUGGUGCGGUGCCUUCCGAGUUCCCUGGAACGGGACGCCUUAGAGGGUGAGAGCCCCGUACGGUUGGACGCCUAGCCUUUAUAAAGCUCCUUCGACGAGUCGAGUUGUUUGGGA